UGGGGAAUUUUGGACAAUGGGCGAAAGCCUGAUCCAGCAAUGCCGCGUGUGUGAAGAAGGCCUUCGGGUUGUAAAGCACUUUUGUCCGGAAAGAAACCCUUGGCUCUAAUACAGUCGGGGGAUGACGGUACCGGAAGAAUAAGCACCGGCUAACUACGUGCCAGCAGCCGCGGUAAUACGUAGGGUGCAAGCGUUAAUCGGAAUUACUGGGCGUAAAGCGUGCGCAGGCGGUUUGCUAAGACCGACGUGAAAUCCCCGGGCUCAACUGGGAACUGCAUGGUGACUGGCAGGCUAGAGUAUGGCAGAGGGGGGUAGAAUUCCACGUGUAGCAGUGAAAUGCGUAGAGAUGUGGAGGAAUACCGAUGGCGAAGGCAGCCCCCUGGGCAAUACUGACGCUCAUGCACGAAAGCGUGGGGAGCAAACNGGAUUAGAUACCCUGGUAGUCCACGCCCUAAAACGAUGUCAACUAGUUGUUGGGGAUUCAUUUCCUUAGUAACGUAGCUAACGCGUGAAGUUGACCGCCUGGGGAGUACGGUCGCAAGAUUAAAACUUAAAU
This 556-nucleotide ribosomal RNA is filed under the name uncultured bacterium. Its description in RNAcentral is "partial 16S ribosomal RNA". It matches the Rfam family "Bacterial small subunit ribosomal RNA", at positions 355 to 906 of the family's 1533-position model. The record is from RNAcentral.